AAAUGCGAUAAGUAAUGUGAAUUGCAGAAUUCAGUGAAUCAUCGAAUCUUUGAACGCACCUUGCGCUCCUUGGUAUUCCUUGGAGCAUGCCUGUUUGAGUAUCAUGAAAUCUUCAAAGUAAAUCUUUUGUUAACUCAAUUGGUUUCUACUUGGUAUUGGAGGUCUUUGCAGCUUCACACCUGCUCCUCUUUGUUCAUUAGCUGGAUCUCAGUGUUAUGCUUGGUUCCACUCGGCGUGAUAAGUUAUCUAUCGCUGAGGACACUGUAAAAGGUGGCCAAGGUAAAUGCAGAUGAACCGCUUCUAAUAGUCCAUUGACUUGGACAAUACUUUUAUGAUCUGAUCUCAAAUCAGGUAGGACUACCCGCUGAACUUAAGC
RNAcentral lists this unclassified non-coding RNA (376 nucleotides) under plant metagenome. RNAcentral's name for it is "partial contains 5.8S ribosomal RNA, internal transcribed spacer 2, and large subunit ribosomal RNA". The stretch from base 1 to 104 matches the Rfam family "5.8S ribosomal RNA", at positions 51 to 154 of the family's 154-position model. The record is from RNAcentral.